GGCCUUAUAGCUCAGCGGUUUAGAGCAUGCGAUUGCAGUGGGGUAAUCGAUUAUCGCAGGGUCCCGUGUUCGAAUCACGGUGAGGCCU
This 88-nucleotide transfer RNA is filed under the name Daedalea quercina L-15889. It matches the Rfam family "tRNA". Rfam says of the family: Transfer RNA (tRNA) molecules are approximately 80 nucleotides in length. Their secondary structure includes four short double-helical elements and three loops (D, anti-codon, and T loops). Lineage: Eukaryota; Fungi; Basidiomycota; Agaricomycetes; Polyporales; Fomitopsidaceae. The record is from Rfam by way of RNAcentral.